This is a non-coding RNA of Bactrocera oleae (olive fruit fly), 991 nucleotides long. NCBI's taxonomy places the organism in Eukaryota, Metazoa, Arthropoda, Insecta, Diptera, Tephritidae. The record is from RefSeq and is a predicted model, not a curated record.
UUAAAUCUCUUAAUAUUGAAUUCAUUAAUCGUUGAAAGGUUGGCGGGGCAUUCUUUAAUCCGAAAGGCAUCCUUCUGAAUUCAUAAUGCCUAAAUGGUGUGGAAAAUGCCGUUUUCUUUCGGUCAUGGUGAAGUUCUUUUGCUAAGUCGAGUGUCGUGAAGUACUGAGCCUAAUUUUUCGAGAAUAGUUUCGAUGUUUGGAAUUGAAAAUUUAUCGUCUACCGUAACUUCGUUUAGUUUCCUGUAAUCAAUAACGAUGCGCCACUUUUUUAUAUAUAAUAACUUUUUGGGCACAAUCCACAAGGGUGAAUUGAAAGGGGAGUUACUCUCUGUGAUUAUACCAUUUCUGUUAUUUGCCUUUUUAUUUCCUGCUCGUUUAUUUGGGGAUACCUGUAUAUUUCGGAAUAUAUGGGUUUAUCGGUUGUUGUAACGAUUUCGUAUUGUAUUGUGUGAGAAUGCGAUAGUUUUUGCCCAUCCUGAAAGAAUAAAUCACUAUUUUUUGAUAUGAUAGUUUUGAGGUGUUCUGCUUCCUCGGAAUUCGUAUCCUCUCUAAUUAACUUUUUAUAAAGUUCUUCGUCGGCAUUAAUUGUUUCAAGUGCAUGUACUUCGUUGAUAUUAAAUGGGCAUGUACCAACGAAUUUCGUUCGUAUGUUAUUGAUUUCGAGGUAUUCGUCCUCGAUGCUUAUAUGUGCCUUUAAGGGUGCUGAAGAACGAUUAACGCUGAUAGAAGAGCAACGGCUCAUGGAAGAAAAACGUCAACGAAUGCGUAAAGAAGAAGAAAAGCAAAGCAGAACAAACGAUGACACUGGGGGAAAAUAAUUAGGGCGGAAGCUCUUAUUUCCUCUUAAGCCUCAAGUAUUAAUACUUGUACAUAGAAUUAAAUAUCCAACACAACAUACCACCCUAGGCGUGGAUGGUAUUCCAAAUAAGGUCUUACAUAUUGCCAUUAAACGCAAUGCGAGACGAUUUACUGAAUUGCUUACGUGGUGCUU